GCUGGGGUAGCUCAGUGGGAAAAGCAUGAGGUUGUUCAUCCCAGGGUUGUGGGUUUGAGCCCCAUGUUGGGCA
This is a non-coding RNA of Podarcis lilfordi (Lilford's wall lizard), 73 nucleotides long. The record is from the annotation of a GenBank genome assembly. NCBI's taxonomy places the organism in Eukaryota, Metazoa, Chordata, Lepidosauria, Squamata, Lacertidae.